This is a long non-coding RNA of Cercocebus atys (sooty mangabey), 5922 nucleotides long. RefSeq lists it as uncharacterized. The record is from RefSeq and is a predicted model, not a curated record. Lineage: Eukaryota; Metazoa; Chordata; Mammalia; Primates; Cercopithecidae. The transcript has 3 exons.
UCUCCUGAAGUUAAUGAGAAGGGGUAACAGGUAAUUGAAAAAAUUUUAAAAUCAUAUGACAAUAUGAUUUCAUGCUUCAUCCUCAUACAACCAAAAUGUUUUCUGUAAAUGAGUCCCACACUUUGGGAAGCACUGGACUAUGGUAUACAAUUCAAACUCAGUAGCCUGCUAUGAUCUUACUCCCAAUUCCCUUUUGAUCUGAUUUCCUGCCACUCCGCAAGUCAUAUUUACAACUCUAUUCAUGCUAAAGGACAUAUCAUUUGGCCCUAGGAUGUCUCCAUCGUGUCUACUGAGAAACAUAUUAGGCCUCUGAAGAGGUUCUAGAUGUGAAGCUUUCAGAGACCCCACCCAGGCACCUUUCUCCUUAGUAUGAGCAAAGGCGCUAGUCAGGCUCCUCUGAGUUCUCUUGUUGACUAGGCCUCAAGCUUACCUUUCUAGGUUGAACAAACACUAAGACAGUUUCUAACAGCUCAACAUUGUUUACUUAGGAUGAGCCUACCCCCCACUUAAAGUGCAAGCCUGAUAAUACUCAAGGCUGCCAAAAGAGCUUCCUGUUGUUCCAACCAACACCUGAAGACCGGGAUCCCGGUUUCCAGUCUCUGCGGGAGGGGAGGGGCCGAACUUCAGUAAACAGCAGUGAACAAAACUAGAUGGGUUUUACGUGGACUAACCUCUUUUCCGGAUUUUUAUAAUUUUUCAUUUUCCUGAAAAACUCUAUGGAGUCCCCACGCACCCUUCUCCCUGAUCCUUCAUUGUCCCACCUAAUCACCUCUGUACAGGUCAAAGUUGAGCUUAGUUCACAUUGCACUCUUUUCCCUAUUGUAAUAAUAUACAUUAAUUCUUACCAUUUUAUUUAGUGUUCAGGGUUGUUUAUCUUUCGCACCAUUCCAUAGCUACUUCUAAUGUACUAUAUAGUCAUUAUUCACUGAACUACCACUCUCACCCGCUAUGCUGUGCUCUGUUCUGUACUCCGACUGCUGAGGUCAGCCCCCGUAUUGUGCCUCCCAUAUUAGAAAUGGCAAACAUUCUCUUUACUCACAAGUUAAUAAAGUGAAAUAAUAACACAAUGUAUUUUGUCAGAUAAGUACUCAUCUACUACUGAGGUGGUAUUUUCUUAAGAGCAACCUUUACAUUUAAAUAACUCUUAAGAGCAAUCUUUAUGUUUAAGUAACUUACAUUUAAAUGUGCUUAGAAAGGGGGAACUAAGUUACCUGACUGCUGUGAACAGGGUCAUGAGGAGAGACUCUAACACACUGGUUUAGUUUUAUUUCAACUUCAGAAUCAUAAGAGGGACAUUACACAUUGCAUCAAAUUCUAUAGUGUAAAAAUAAAAUAAAAAUAUCAGCUUACAUUCCUUCUUUCUUAGUUUGUCGGUGUCAUUUUUAAUUCCAACGUUUUGUUAAACCUCACAUCUUCCUCUUUUGAAUUUCUACUUCCUUUUAAAAUGGCAAUUGCCAUUUCUUUUAAUAUCUUUUGUCUUAUAUUAGUAAGAGCAUUUCUCUAAUUAUAACAUGGGGAAUUUACAUGUGGGUUACAGUGGAGACUAGAUUUUUACAUCAAAAUUAAUUUUGUUUUAUUUGCUCCUAAUUUAUAGGUGAAAAUGCUAUUUUCCAUGGAAAUCUAUUUUGUUCCAUAAAAUUAAAUGAACCAUGACCCAGAAGUGCAACGAGACACACACAGCAUGACCACAUUAUUUCUGAAAGCUGAAGAGUUCCCAGUCUGCUGAUCUCAGACUUCGUGAACCACAUCGUUCAGUUCAAAUUGUUUCCCUGUAAUAGCUUUGAGCCCCUGCCAAACAGCCACUGAAGGACUCUGAAAAAUACAAGAACUGAAAGGGGCACAUGGCAGAUAUAAUCAUAAACUUUCAUUUCAGAGAGCAAUAAAAAAGGAGAAGAAGAACACACUGGUACUCCAACAAGUCGUAGUUUCUGCCAGAUGUUGCAAAAAUCAAAUGUCCACAGAAACUCCAUCAGCAACACUGCUUUCAAAGUGUCUUUUGACAAGUAAUGUGUGCAUUUUACAAAUCCAAAGGCAAUAUUUGAAGUAGCUCUUCCAAACAGCUGUAUUACUCAAAGCUAUCUCUAUAUCACCACCUUGUUUCAUGGAAGAAAAUGUGGAAAUGUGUACUGAAAAUGUGUAAAUGAUUAAAGCAUCAGUAUAAAGAAAAAAACAUUCUGAACAUGAAUAAAAAUUAUUUUGAGGGUUUGUUGAAAAAUCAAACACCAGAUGUCCAUGGCUGACUUGCCAAAUGAAAAUCCUUGAAAGAAAGGUUCAGAAAUUGACAUUUCAAAUGAAUAUACCCCAGCUGAUUGACACAGGUGUUCCUUUGAGCAAUCCUGGAUAGCACUGUGGUAGACCCCAGGUAAGCAAUCCUGUGGGAUCUGCUUUUUCAACUUUGUAGUAGAUUGUAUUUUCCAAAGUGACACUGACAUCUCUCCACCAAAUGAUGGGAUUUAUGUUACCUCUUCUUGGACCUGGGUGAACUUUUGACUGCAGUAGAAGUGACGCUAUGUGACUUCUAAGACCAAUUCAUAAAAUGCAAUACAGCUUCCUCCUAACUCCCUUGGGAUGCUGGCCCUAGGAAACCAGCCACCAUGCUGUAAGAAAGCCAAGCAGCCACAUGAAAAGACCACAUGUAGGUCUUUCAGUCAUAGAUACAGUUGAACUCUCCAUUGACAGCCAGCCUUUAACCACUACAUGAGUGAGCCUUUAGAUAAUUCUAGCCCCCAGCUUUUGGGCCACCCCAGUAGACAAAAGACAAGCUCUUUCACCCAACCUUGGUCAAAUUUCAGAUUUGUGAAUGAAAUUUAUGUUGUCACUGUUCUAAGCCACUAAAUGUUAUAGUGGUUUGUUACAUAGCAAUAAAUAACAGAACAAAUUCCAAAUGCUUCCACAUCUUCUUCAGAUAAAAUGUAAAGCCCCACGUAAACCUUCAUGCAUUCCAGUUUGCAUUUAAGGAUUUCAUAUUCUAUCCAACCAGAUCCACCCCCAGCCCAGACUGACUUACUGGGUCCUGCUUUAGCUAAUUGGCUAAGUCUGCAGUUCUGAAUCAGGAGAGAUUUUGUUUCCCACAGAACAUUUGGCAAUGUCUGGAGACAUUUAAUGGUUGUCACAACUGGGGGAAAGGGUACAACUGGUAUCUAAAUGGGUAGAAACUAGAGGUGUGGCUAAACAUCCCACAAUCCACGCAUGACCCCUCCCCUGCAACAAAGAACUAUCAAGCCUAAAUGGUGCCAAGGUUGAGAGACUCUGACCUAGCUCUGGUCCCCAGCAGUGAGGUACUCAGUUUUCACGAGUGUCUUCAUCAUCAUGUAGGUUGAAGGUUCUCAACCAGGAAUUAAAGAAAUAGUGUGUGCUGGGGGAAGGGGAGGUUAGAAUAUCAGGAUUUUUAACCUAUACUGUUGCUAUAGCCUAGAUGUUUGUGUCCCUCCAGAACUCAUAUGUUGAAAUCUAAUCCACAAUGUGAUGGUAUUAGGAGGUGGGGCCUCUGGGAGGAGAUUAGGUCAUGAGGGCUCCCAUGAGUGGGAUUAGCACUCUUUUAAAAGAGGCUUGAAGGAGCCUUUUUUUCCCCUUCCACCAUGCAAGGAUAGAGUGAAAGGGCACCAUCUAUGAGAUGUCUGGCCGUCACCAGACUUUGAAUCAGCUGACAUGUUCAUCUUGAAUUUUUCGGGCUUCAGAACUACAGGAAAUAAAACCUGUUGUUUAUAAAUUAUCCAGGCUAAGGAUUUUUUAUAGCAGUUAUAGCGGCUUAAAUGGACUAAAACAAGUGAGCUUGUGGUGUUCAACCAUGGCUACAAAUUAGAAUAAGUUGGCAAGGGUUUUUUUGUUAGUUUUCUUGGUUUUUUUUUUUUCAACUAUCACUGCUCAAUCCCCAACUCUGGAGAUUCUGAUUUUAAAAAUACUGGAUGCUAGUAUUUUUUAAAAGCUUCUUAAGUUAUUUUAAUGAGUAGCUAAGCAUGAGAACUGAGGCACUGGCCACUUCUCACCUGGAGACUGUGACUCCUAACCUGUUCCAGGUUAGGUCACAAAGGGGAGAUUGGGGAAAUCUAGAAAACAAAAUUCAAAAAUCCCAGUGGGUAAUUCUGUUGGCUCCGUUCCCCUGCUGAAACCCUCUGCCUUACAUAGUCCUCUGCUCUUAGUCUGCCAUAUUCUGGCAAGAAAAAGACCUGAGCCAGACUCCUCCUUCAUUCUAGUGCACUUAUUUGGGAUGGAAGCAAACCUUAAGAAUUAAUUGAUUCUUGUCAAGCCACUAAGUAGUACCAUUUUUUAGCAAAUGCUAAACAAUUCUGUCAUAAUAAGUUCAGUCUGCUGUGCACCUCUUCAUCUAUGAAAUAAGCUCUAUUUACUAGAUUUUCCAUUAAUUACCUAAGAUGGAUAUAAAAACAUUAUUCAAUAUUCUUAGAAUUUUAGCACUGGAGUGUCAAGCUAAAUCAAAUAAUUUAUAUAUUUACAUAGUUUAAGAUGAUGACAAUAGUUUACUCAUAGUAAGUUAUUUUGCUGAGGUUUAUCUCUCUCUCUCUGCACAGGACUUAACCUCGCUUCCCAACCAAAAAAAAACAAAAAAACAAAAAAAACAGCAGUUAGGCAACUGUCCUGCCAUCUGCCUCAGAUGCGAAGCAGAUAAAAGUCGGCUCACUAAAAACAAAAAUGACUUGGGUGGAGAGGGAAAAAUGUGAAAUAGCCUGUUAUUAUAAUAAUUACCUCAGUAAAAUGUGUUAUUUUAUCAUGAUAAUGAGAUUUUCUGAACAUGUUAUUACAUUUGUGGUAAAAAGAAAAAAAUCAAAACUAUGUUUUUGUUUUCAAAAUCCAGUCAUCGAAGGAAAACACCAAUUUAAUAAAUUUCUCAAUAAUUAUCAAAUUAUAACUUUAUAACUCUUUCCCAUUAAAGCCAAAGGCAGAAAGAAUCCUUAAUGUCAUAUUUACACUCAUUAUCUACAACAGAGAAAAGCUGAAUAUCUAUAAUAGUUUUGAGUGCUAAGUGUACAGAGUAAGUGCCCAUCUGUGCUGGAAGGCAGUCAUAAUUGUGAGCAUAGGUUCUUGACUAGCAUUGCCUGGGUUUAAAUCCUAAGCCCACCAUUUACAAUGUGAUCUUGUGCAUAUUAUUUUACCCUUAUAACUCAGUUUCCUCCUCUAAAAAACAGUGAUAAUAAUAGUACUGGGAUCAUAAUUACCUUUGGGAACUAAAAGAUACAAUGAAUAGAAAAUGCUUUGCCUAGUCUGUGGCACAUAAGAUGUAUUUAAAGAAUGAGCAUAUUUUCACUCUCAAAUCUAUAAUGACAGCUCAUACUUCCCUUUUUAAGUUUCAGAACUAUAUUUCCAACUGCCUUCUGGAUGUCUCCAUCUGAAUUUCCUCAGGCCACUUCUAAAUUAUCUUUUCCAGUAUAUAUUAGUUUUUCUCCAUUACUCCUUGACUUAUCACUAAAACCAUUUUACCAACACAGAGUAAGGUGUUUGGAAUGGGUUUUGAGCUCAGGUAUCCUUCUAAAGGAUGGCUAUGUGGCAAUUAUGCUUCUAGUUGUUAUUUAUCUCCCUUUUCUAGAGACACAUUGUUUGCUGUCAAACAGAGUAUCUAAAAUAAUUUUAAUUGACACCUUAAGCUCUUCAAAAUAUUGUUAUCUUAUAACCUUUCUAAUAUUCUAAAGAGCAUUUUUAAUAGUUUCUUAAAGGUACUAGGCUUAAUGUCUUACUUAACACUUUCUGUAAACAACAGAACUUGAUUUUGCCCCAUUGUGUGUACCUCAUUUCUUGAGCACCUCUCUAAUACUGUCCUCAGUGUCCAUGAUGAAAAGUCAUAUUCUUACUUAGUUUUGAGACCAAAAACCAACUGGGCAAGAUCUAGGACUGUAGGACUUUUUUUGAUAAAAGUUGAGGCAAUAGGCCAGGCACGCUGGCUCGUACCUGUGAUCCCAGCACUUUGGGAGG